UGUUUCCUGUUUGCUCUCUGUCUUUUGUGGCACCUUUACUAUCUGCUCCGUGUCUGCACACCUGUUCCUCGUUUAAUUAGUUGUAUUUAGUUCCACCUGAGUCCCUCCUUCACUGCUUCAUCAUUAUUCUUUUUUGACGGAUGUGGAUCGGACGGGUUUUAUUCGCAAGCCAAACAUUCCUCCCGCUGUGCCAACCUCACCUGUGGGGUCCCUAGGGCUCAAUACUGGGUUCCAUCCUGUUCUCCAUCUACAUGCUCUCCCUCAGCCAAGUCAUUCAUCGCCAUAAAAUUUCCUCUCAUUUCUACACUGAUGAUACUAAAUCUAUCUUCCACUCAAGACAGACGAUCCCUCUGGACAGGACCAUUUGAAGGACUGCUUGCAGGACAUAAAAGAGUGGAUGUCAAAAUUUCCUGCAGCUCAAUGACAGAGUGAAAUUCUUCUGUUCGGGAACUCCAACCCCCCAACUGUGCACAAUAGCCAAGAUCAAGUCAGUCCUCUCCCCCAGUGACUUAGAGGGUCGUGGUCAUGCUCAUCUUCUGCAGACUGGACUAAUGGAAUGCCCUCUAUGCUGGGGUCACUGACAAGACCAUAUAUAGCAUGCAGUUGGUACAAAAUGCUGGUGACAGGCACAAAAAUGAGGGAACACAUUUCUCCCAUCCUCUCCUCCCUUCACUGGAUCCUGGUGAAGCACAGAGUGAAAUUUAAGAUCCUUGCGUAUGUCUUCAAAGCGCUCCGUGGUCUUACCCCAGCUUACAUCAAACAUCUCCUGGACCAACCUAUCAGCUCCAGGCUUGGUCGUUGCCUCAGAUCUGACAACCAGAUGACCUUGAAGGUCCCACAGUCAAACCUAGUGACAAAGAGAGACCGUGCAUUUUCAAUGAUGGUACCUGGCCUAUGGAAUAAGCUCCCCCUGAAAGUCAAGUCCGCCACCACUCUGGACACUUUUAGAGCACAGCUUAAAACUCACCUCUUUGCCGCAAAUGACUUGAUUUGUGUUCAUGUGUCUUAAAUGUUUGUUCUAAAUUCCUUUCUGUCCCUGUUUUUUUUUGUUUCUCCACUCAGGCUGCACCCCAGGCUGAUGUGAUGGUUGUGUGGGUGCAAUAAUUGAAAAUAACAUUUUGUUUUUAUCUUCAAGGUCAAUUUUGGGGGUCUGGUCAUCAACAAUACAACGUCAAAAUGUAUUUCAUUUGUCAUGGUUUUUGUUAUCUACAAGGUCAAUUUUAAGGAGUCUGUUCAUCUACAAUACAAGGUAAAUUAGUAUUUUAUUUGUGUCAUGGUUUUUAACUACAAGGUCAGUAUGUAUUCAACUUGUGUCCUCAUGGUUUUUGUUAACUACAAGGUCAAUUUUGGGGGGGAAGGGGAGUCUGACGAAUAAAAUACAUAUUGACCUUGUAUUGUAGAUGACCAGACUCCCCUUCAUAUUGACCUUGUAUUGUAGAUGACCAGACUCCCCUUCCCCCCCACAAAUUGACCUUGUUGUUAACAAAAACCAUGAGGACAGAAAUAAAAUACAUAUUUACCUAGUAUUGUAGGUGACCAAAGUUUAUGUUAACUACAAGGUCAAUUUGUGGGGGUUUUUUGGUCAUUGUUUUUGUUUCCUCAUGGUUUUUGAUAUCUACAAUACAAGGUAAAUGUUUUUUUUUCUAAUGUUUUUUAUCUUCAAGGUCAAUUUUGUGGGGUCUAGUCAUCUACAAUACAGGGUCAGUAUGUAUUUGUGUCAUGGUUUUUAACUACAAGGUCAGUAUGUAUUUAACCUGUGUCACUGUUUUUGUUUCCUCAUGGUUUGUGACAUCUACAACACAAUAUAUUGUAUAUUUUAUUUGUGUCAUGGUUUCUAUUAACGUCUAUUUUGGGGGGUGUCUCAUCUCUAAUACAAGGUCAAUAUGUCUUUUUUUUUUGUCAUGGUUUUUAACUACAAAGUCAAUAUUUAAUUUGCCAUAUUUUUUGUCAUCUACAAGGUCAAUUUUAAAGAAUCUGGUCAUCUACAAUACAAGGUAAAUUUGUAUUUUAUUUGUCAUGGUUUUUGUUACUACAAGGUCGGUAUGUAUUUUGGGCCUUUUUUUUUUGUUUCCUCAUGGUUUUUGAUAUCUACAAUACAAAGUUAAUAUGUAUUUCAUUUGUCAUGGUUUUUGUUAUCAGGUCAAUUUUAAGAAGUCUGGUAAUCUACAAUACAAGGUAAAUAUUUUAUUUGUCAUGGUUUUUGUUAACUACAAGGUCAAUUUGCGGGGUUUUGGUCAUAUACAAUAAAAGGUCAGUAUGUAUUUAGUUUGUUUUUUGUUUCCUCAUGUUUUUGAUAUCUACAAUUCGUCUAUUUUGUGUCAUCAUGGUUUCUAUUAACUACAAGGUCAAUUUUGGGUUCUGGUCAUUUUCAAUCCAAGUUCGAUUUGUAUUUAAUUUGUGUCCUUUUCGUCCUCAAGGUCACUUUUGCGGGUCUGGUCAUCUACAAUACAAGGUCAAUAUGUAUUUCAUUUGUCAUGGUUUCUAUUAAUUACAUGGUCAAUUUUGGGGGGCUCUGGUCAUGUACAAUGCAAGGUAAAUUUGUAUUUAAUUAGUGUCCAUGGAUUUAGUUGUCUACAAGGUAAAUUUUAAGGAGUCUUGUCUUCUACAAUACAAGGUAAAUUUGUAUUUUAUUUGUCAUGGUUUUUGUUAUUACAAGGUCGGUAUGUAUUUGGGCCUUUUUUUUUUUCCUCAUGGUUUUUGAUAUCUACAAUACAAGGUUAAUAUGUAUUUCAUUUGUCAUGGUUUUUGUUAUCUACAAGGUCAAUUUGAAGGAGUCUGUUCAUCUACAAUACAAGGUAAAUUUGUAUUUUAUUUGUGUCAUUGUUUUUAACUACAAGGUCAGUAUGUAUUUAACUUGUGUCACUGUUUUUUUUUCCUCGUGGUUUUUGAUAUCUACAAUACAAGGUUAAUAUGUAUUUCAUUUGUCAUGGUUUUUGUUAUCUACAAGGUCAAUUUGAAGGAGUCUGUUCAUCUACAAUACAAGCGCUACAACAGUACACAAGUCUUACACAAUGUGUUAUGGGUCACGUUCCUGCUUCUCCUCCUGCUGUGCGGACUGAGUGCAUGGCGGAGCACAUCAACAGGUGUUCCCUCUCCGCUGCGGGUGUGCCUCUGCAAGAGAUCUGCAAUCAACACACCUGCCGGUGAUGAGCAACCAGCCUUCAUAAGCCAGCGCGUCUUAAGAUCCGGUGCCAGAACGUAGUUUCUCCUACCAGUACACUUCCUCGUCGUCUACCUGGACCCACUUUGGAUUCCCUCUUGCCUCCCUGGACCAAGACCUCGCUCCUGCCCUCUGACGUCCAAGCCUUUUUCUUCUUUUGGACUUCCACCUCUAUCUCAACACGCACACUCAACACCCUCUGGUGACCACGCUCAGAUAAUACUUACACAUAGUCACACUCCAUCUCUUUAAGGUAAUCACACACUGCACUCACAUACUGAGUUGUCAAUAAACACGCUGGCAGCUAA
Long non-coding RNA from Nerophis ophidion (straightnose pipefish), 3468 nucleotides. RefSeq lists it as uncharacterized. Lineage: Eukaryota; Metazoa; Chordata; Actinopteri; Syngnathiformes; Syngnathidae. The transcript is spliced from 4 exons. The record is from RefSeq and is a predicted model, not a curated record.